AGAGUUUGAUCCUGGCUCAGAUUGAACGCUGGCGGCAGGCCUAACACAUGCAAGUCGAGCGGUAGCACAGAGAGCUUGCUCUCGGGUGACGAGCGGCGGACGGGUGAGUAAUGUCUGGGAAACUGCCUGAUGGAGGGGGAUAACUACUGGAAACGGUAGCUAAUACCGCAUAACGUCGCAAGACCAAAGAGGGGGACCUUCGGGCCUCUUGCCAUCAGAUGUGCCCAGAUGGGAUUAGCUAGUAGGUGGGGUAACGGCUCACCUAGGCGACGAUCCCUAGCUGGUCUGAGAGGAUGACCAGCCACACUGGAACUGAGACACGGUCCAGACUCCUACGGGAGGCAGCAGUGGGGAAUAUUGCACAAUGGGCGCAAGCCUGAUGCAGCCAUGCCGCGUGUAUGAAGAAGGCCUUCGGGUUGUAAAGUACUUUCAGCGGGGAGGAAGGUGUUGAGGUUAAUAACCUCAGCAAUUGACGUUACCCGCAGAAGAAGCACCGGCUAACUCCGUGCCAGCAGCCGCGGUAAUACGGAGGGUGCAAGCGUUAAUCGGAAUUACUGGGCGUAAAGCGCACGCAGGCGGUCUGUCAAGUCGGAUGUGAAAUCCCCGGGCUCAACCUGGGAACUGCAUUCGAAACUGGCAGGCUAGAGUCUUGUAGAGGGGGGUAGAAUUCCAGGUGUAGCGGUGAAAUGCGUAGAGAUCUGGAGGAAUACCGGUGGCGAAGGCGGCCCCCUGGACAAAGACUGACGCUCAGGUGCGAAAGCGUGGGGAGCAAACAGGAUUAGAUACCCUGGUAGUCCACGCCGUAAACGAUGUCGACUUGGAGGUUGUGCCCUUGAGGCGUGGCUUCCGGAGCUAACGCGUUAAGUCGACCGGCUGGGGAGUACGGCCCCGCAGGGAUAAAUCUAAUGAGUAGACGGGGGCGCCCGCACCCGGGGGGGCGUAUGGUGUAUUACUAUACGCCACGCGAAGCCCCUUACAUACUUUUCACAUCCAGAGCACUCUCCAGAGAUGGAUUGGUGCCUUCGGGAACUCUGAGACAGGUGCUGCAUGGCUGUCGUCAGCUCGUGUUGUGAAAUGUUGGGUUAAGUCCCGCAACGAGCGCAACCCUUAUCCUUUGUUGCCAGCGGUCCGGCCGGGAACUCAAAGGAGACUGCCAGUGAUAAACUGGAGGAAGGUGGGGAUGACGUCAAGUCAUCAUGGCCCUUACGAGUAGGGCUACACACGUGCUACAAUGGCGCAUACAAAGAGAAGCGACCUCGCGAGAGCAAGCGGACCUCAUAAAGUGCGUCGUAGUCCGGAUUGGAGUCUGCAACUCGACUCCAUGAAGUCGGAAUCGCUAGUAAUCGUAGAUCAGAAUGCUACGGUGAAUACGUUCCCGGGCCUUGUACACACCGCCCGUCACACCAUGGGAGUGGGUUACAAAAGAAGUAGGUAGCUUAACCUUCGGGAGGGCGCUUACCACUUUGUGAUUCAUGACUGGGGUGAAGUCGUAACAAGGUAACC
Molecule: ribosomal RNA, 1503 nt
Filed under: bacterium H3
Lineage: Bacteria
Also listed under: 1 other name
Description: bacterial SSU rRNA
Rfam family: Bacterial small subunit ribosomal RNA
Source: RNAcentral